This is a long non-coding RNA of Thalassophryne amazonica, 1668 nucleotides long. RefSeq lists it as uncharacterized. NCBI's taxonomy places the organism in Eukaryota, Metazoa, Chordata, Actinopteri, Batrachoidiformes, Batrachoididae. The record is from RefSeq and is a predicted model, not a curated record. The transcript has 3 exons.
UUCUUGUAGUUAUUGAUUAUAUGAAUUGGUGAAAAUUAUGGUCAGUAGACUGAUGGAAAAUAGUGAACAAUGAUCAUCACAGUGUCCUGGACAGUUGUGUUCUGGUUUUGGCUGGGUUCUAUAACUGAUUUUGUGCACAGCAAAAGUACUAGAAAGACCAGCUGCAAAGGUGCCACUUGAGAAUGAGACUAUCCUGAUGAAGGAUUUGUAAAUUAUUAAUUAGGUUAUGACCACUUUACAAAACUUAAGGUAUUAAAAAAAACUGAGCAACUCAUGUGACUGUUGAAGAGGCUUCAAACCAACUUGGUGGAUCAACGGCUCCAACACUGAACCACUUUACUCACCUUUGUCUUAUUUAGUCCAAAUGACAACUGUUAAGUCCAAACAGGUCAGUUUUAUAGUGUUGAGAAGUCAUUAGAUGACAUACAAUUCUGGCUCAUAUUACAAAAUGUAAUAAAUUGAAAUGUUAAAUAAAUUGGAAACAUUUUACUGGUGCGCACCUCAAAUAGCUGAGGCAUUUUUACCUGACCAGAAUGACUGUUUGUUUCUAUAAAUUUGAUCAAAUCUGGUUAAUUAGAUUUUAUCCCCCACUGGCCAAAGGUCCAAAGGGAGAUUAUGUCAUGACAAUAUCCAUCCAUCUGUCUGUCUGUCCAAAGAAGGGUAUAAGCGUUGUUAAAUCAUCUCACAUUUUUAGGAGGAAUUUUGUGAAACUUGGUACAAGUUCUUGUUACAGAUUGGUAAUAUGCAUAUUAUUAUUCAAGUUGGGCCCAUUUUUGCCAGAGUUAUGGCCCUUGAUUAACAAAUCCAGACUGUUUCAUGAGACGUGCCUGCAUACUGAAAUCAAUUGUCACCUUUUUAUUAGAAAUUUUGGGAAACUUGGUAAUUUCAAUUUAUUUUCAUUUAUAUAGCACCAAAUCACAAAAAGGUUGCCUCAAGGCGCGUCACACAAGUGAGGUCUAACCUUACUUGUGGUACAAUUCCUUGUUAUACACAUAUUCUAAUAUUGUAUAAGACUGACACAUUUUGGCAGAGUUAUGGCCCUUGAUUAACAAACCUAGACACUUUUCAUGAAUUGGUGUCUGCAUUCUGAAAUCAACUAUCACAUACCUUGAAAUGUUAUUAGAAUGUAGCAAGAACUUGUAUCAAAGCAGAAUUUGCCAGCGAGGACAUUGUGUUCUUGGAUCACUCUUGUUGAGUUCUCCUGCUUAGUGAGCCGUCCAGCUUCAUGCCCAAGAAGUCAACCAUUGACUACAUUCUAGACUUGUGGGCACUCAUCAAAUGCCAGCUUGAAUAUCAGCAGUGCUUCUUUGUAGCCUGUGUUGAUUUUGGCAAAGUGUUUGAUUCAGUUGAUCGGACUGCUCUCUGGGACAUCCUGAGAAUUUGUGGGAUCCCAAGAAGCUACUGGACAUCAGUCAGCUGACACACACAUACUGUGAGUGCUGUGCAAAGUGGAGACUGAGACUGAAUUUUGCCAGUGAAAACUGGAGUUCCUCAGGGAUGUGUUAUGGCUCCUACACUGUUCACUGCAGCAGAACCAGAGUAUCUGGAUUUGAGAUUUCCGUGGAUCAAGACUAAGAUUCAGACUUUUAGCGACUUCCUGGACUUGCCCAUCAGAAGUGUAUCUAUGCGGUGAAAGUAUUGAACUUUCACCGCAAGUGUUGAACUAUU